CCUACGGGGGGCAGCAGUGAGGAAUAUUGGUCAAUGGCCGGAAGGCUGAACCAGCCAUGCCGCGUGAAGGUCAGUGCCCUAUGGGCGUUAAACUUCUUUUGUGCGGGAGCAAUAAUGGUCACGUGUGGCCAGACGAGAGUACCGUACGAAUAAGCAUCGGCUAACUCCGUGCCAGCAGCCGCGGUAAUACGGGGGAUGCAAGCGUUAUCCGGAUUUAUUGGGUUUAAAGGGUGCGUAGGCUGUGAGGUAAGUCAGCGGUGAAAUGCCCCCGCUCAACGGGGUGAAGUGCCAUUGAUACUGUCUUGCUGGAAUGCGGAUGCGGUGGGAGGAAUGUGUGGUGUAGCGGUGAAAUGCAUAGAUAUCACACAGAACACCGAUUGCGAAGGCAGCUCACGAAUCCGCGAUUGACGCUGAUGCACGAAAGCGUGGGUAUCAAACAGGAUUAGAUACCCCUGUAGUC
This 460-nucleotide ribosomal RNA is filed under the name uncultured bacterium. Its description in RNAcentral is "partial 16S ribosomal RNA". It matches the Rfam family "Bacterial small subunit ribosomal RNA", at positions 338 to 795 of the family's 1533-position model. The record is from RNAcentral.